GACGAACGCUGGCGGCGUGCUUAACACAUGCGAGUCGAACGGAAAGGCCCUGCUUUUGUGGGGUGCUCGAGUGGCGAACGGGUGAGUAACACGUGAGUAACCUGCCCUUGACUUUGGGAUAACUUCAGGAAACUGGGGCUACUACCGGAUAGGAGCUCCUGCUGCAUGGUGGGGGUUGGAAAGUUUCGGCGGUUGGGGAUGGACUCGCGGCUUAUCAGCUUGUUGGUGGGGUAGUGGCUUACCAAGGCUUUGACGGGUAGCCGGCCUGAGAGGGUGACCGGCCACAUUGGGACUGAGAUACGGCCCAGAUUCCUACGGGAGGCAGCAGUGGGGAAUAUUGCACAAUGGGCGGAAGCCUGAUGCAGCAACGCCGCGUGCGGGAUGACGGCCUUCGGGUUGUAAACCGCUUUCGCCUGUGACGAAGCGUGAGUGGCGGUAAUGGGUAAAGAAGCACCGGCUAACUACGUG
Molecule: ribosomal RNA, 468 nt
Filed under: uncultured bacterium
Lineage: Bacteria
Description: partial 16S ribosomal RNA
Rfam family: Bacterial small subunit ribosomal RNA
Source: RNAcentral